UCUGGCUCUUUUAGAGCCCGAGUUGUAAUUUGCAGAGGGCGCUUUGGCGUUGGCAGCGGUCCAAGUUCUUUGGAACAGGACGUCACAGAGGGUGAGAAUCCCGUACGUGGUCGCUAGCCUUGGCCGUGUAAAGCCCCUUCGACGAGUCGAGUUGUUUGGGAAUGCAGCUCUAAAUGGGAGGUAAAUUUCUUCUAAAGCUAAAUACUGGCCAGAGACCGAUAGCGCACAAGUAGAGUGAUCGAAAGAUGAAAAGCACUUUGGAAAGAGAGUCAAAUAGCACGUGAAAUUGUUGAAAGGGAAGCGCUUGCAGCCAGACUUGCCUGUAGUUGCUUAUCCAGACUUUUGUCUGGUGCACUCUUCUAUAGGCAGGCCAGCAUCAGUUUGGGCGGUUGGAUAAAGGUCUCUGUCACGUACCUCCUUUCGGGGAGGCCUUAUAGGGGAGACGACAUGCAACCAGCCUGGACUGAGGUCCGCGCAUCUGCUAGGAUGCUGGCGUAAUGGCUGUAAGCGGCCCGUCUUGAAACACGGACCAAGGAGUCUAACAUCUAUGCGAGUGUUUGGGUGUCAAGCCCAGACGCGUAAUGAAAGUGAACGGAGGUGGGAACCUUUUAGGUGCACCAUCGACCGAUCCUGAUGUCUUCGGAAGGAUUUGAGUAAGAGCAUAGCUGUUGGGACCCGAAAGAUGGUGAACUAUGCUUGAAUAGGGUGAAGCCAGAGGA
Molecule: ribosomal RNA, 719 nt
Filed under: uncultured Ascomycota
Lineage: Eukaryota; Fungi; Ascomycota
Description: eukaryotic LSU rRNA
Rfam family: Eukaryotic large subunit ribosomal RNA
Source: RNAcentral